UUGCCGAUGAUGAUAUCUGAUUACACCAAAUUACCAUCUGAAUGGCUUUGAAAGCCUUGCUGCCAUUCUGCAAUUCUGAGGCGC
Molecule: small nucleolar RNA, 84 nt
Organism: Hevea brasiliensis (rubber tree)
Lineage: Eukaryota; Viridiplantae; Streptophyta; Magnoliopsida; Malpighiales; Euphorbiaceae
Product: small nucleolar RNA SNORD96 family
Exons: 1
Source: RefSeq, a predicted model, not a curated record